GGUGGUUCUUGGGUGAUGCACCCCGGAAUCGGGUUCCCUCCUCUCUGGCUCUGGGGUGCAUCACCCGAUUAUCUCC
Molecule: non-coding RNA, 76 nt
Organism: Myotis davidii
Lineage: Eukaryota; Metazoa; Chordata; Mammalia; Chiroptera; Vespertilionidae
Source: Rfam